AGGACGAACGCUGGCGGCGUGCUUAACACAUGCAAGUCGAACGGAAAGGCCCGCUUGCGGGUACUCGAGUGGCGAACGGGUGAGUAACACGUGGGUAACCUGCCCUCAGCUUUGGGAUAACUCUCGGAAACGGGUGCUAAUACCGAAUGUUGACAUUGCCUCGCAUGGGGUUUUGUUGAAAGUUUUUCGGCUGGGGAUGGGCCCGCGGCCUAUCAGCUUGUUGGUGGGGUGAUGGCCUACCAAGGCGACGACGGGU
RNAcentral lists this ribosomal RNA (256 nucleotides) under uncultured bacterium. RNAcentral describes it as "partial small subunit ribosomal RNA". It matches the Rfam family "Bacterial small subunit ribosomal RNA", at positions 26 to 284 of the family's 1533-position model. The record is from RNAcentral.